AUCUAGCUGAUGAGUCUCAAAUAGGACAAAACGCGCAUCAGACUGGAU
Non-coding RNA from Schistosoma rodhaini, 48 nucleotides. Lineage: Eukaryota; Metazoa; Platyhelminthes; Trematoda; Strigeidida; Schistosomatidae. The record is from Rfam.